GUGGGGAAUAUUGGACAAUGGGGGGAACCCUGAUCCAGCCAUGCCGCGUGUGUGAAGAAGGCCUUUUGGUUGUAAAGCACUUUAAGCGAGGAGGAGGCUACCGAGAUUAAUACUCUUGGAUAGUGGACGUUACUCGCAGAAUAAGCACCGGCUAACUCUGUGCCAGCAGCCGCGGUAAUACAGAGGGUGCAAGCGUUAAUCGGAUUUACUGGGCGUAAAGCGCGCGUAGGUGGCCAAUUAAGUCAAAUGUGAAAUCCCCGAGCUUAACUUGGGAAUUGCAUUCGAUACUGGUUGGCUAGAGUAUGGGAGAGGAUGGUAGAAUUCCAGGUGUAGCGGUGAAAUGCGUAGAGAUCUGGAGGAAUACCGAUGGCGAAGGCAGCCAUCUGGCCUAAUACUGACACUGAGAUGCGAAAGCAUGGGGAGCAAACAGGAUUAGAUACCCCAGUAGUCC
This 451-nucleotide ribosomal RNA is filed under the name uncultured bacterium. RNAcentral describes it as "partial 16S ribosomal RNA". It matches the Rfam family "Bacterial small subunit ribosomal RNA", at positions 354 to 796 of the family's 1533-position model. The record is from RNAcentral.